This 149-nucleotide unclassified non-coding RNA is filed under the name soil metagenome. Its description in RNAcentral is "partial internal transcribed spacer 1". The record is from RNAcentral.
CCGAGUUUACAACUCCCAAACCCCUGUGAACAUACCACUUGUCUGCCUCGGCGGAUCAGCCCGCUCCCGGUAUAAACGGGACGGCCCGCCAGAGGACCCCUAAACUCUGUUUCUAUAUGUAACUUCUGAGUAAAACCAUAAAUAAAUCA